RNAcentral lists this long non-coding RNA (438 nucleotides) under Salmo salar (Atlantic salmon). Its description in RNAcentral is "lncRNA (ENSSSAG00000118000.1)". The record is from RNAcentral. Lineage: Eukaryota; Metazoa; Chordata; Actinopteri; Salmoniformes; Salmonidae.
CUCUAACCCCAGCCCCUGUACCACCUCUGUGUUGGGGGUUAGAGGUAGUGCUGGGGGUUAGAGGUAGUGCUGGGGGUUAGAGGUAGUACUGGGGGUUAGAGGUAAUGUUGGGGAGAGGACACGGUUGAGGUUGAGGGAAGCAUAUUGAUAUUGAUAGGAACUUGAAUGCCUUCACUGGGUUGAGAGACAGAACUUUCUGGAUAGUUUUUGGAUCACUGUGACUGUUGUGAUGAUGUUAGCUUGAUACUUUCUGUCUUGGGGUGUGUGUGAGGGAGACAUGAACGUGAUACGAGGACAAGCACAGACACGGUGGUUGAGGUGGAGAGGUCCCAGCUGGGGAAGGAAGUAUGUGUGUGGAUUUAGGAUGGUUCGUAGGGGGAUAUGUCUUUCAUCAAAUACUACAUUCUUUGGUCCUCUGAGACGUGUGGCAGCGCGUGC